AUAUCAUUGUGAGGUGGGCUUGGUAGUAGUGAGUCUCCCAUACCCUACUAAGAGUUUUCUCCAAAACUCUCGAAUUCCAAUGAGGGACAUGGAAUUUGCCAAAAAUAGUGGGUGGUGCUAUUUGAUUUAAAGACCCGAAUCAAAUGGCUUAAAAUCAAUCAAUUUGUAUUCGUUAUGUAUUUGUUUACCAAUAUAUUUGCAAACGUUAUCCAACACUUGACAAAUAAAAGCCAAAAGCUUUAGUUUCCGGACUUGGUACUACAAAACCAUAGAUUGUCUUUAAAUGGCUUGUAAAUGUACCUAAGUAGUCUCAUCCUCAUAAUCUUCCUAUUGAUAAUGUAUCAUUGGAAGAACAUGUUAGAAAAAGUCUAUCAUAAAGAGGACAACACUUUUAAAUGUCAUAAUUCUUCAAUUACAAUUUGUUGUAUGAAGAAAUAAGAGUUGCUUUGAACAACCCUUAAUCAAUGCAAACAUUAGUGCUUGUUUCUUUGUUACAUGAACAAAGAACUUUAGAAGAAAGCACAAAGGCAUGGACACUUAAUGUGCCAUGAUUCUUCACUUACAAAUUGUUGUAUGAAGAAAUAAGAGUUGCCUUGAACAACUCUUGAAAGUUUGUAAUUAUGUUUAGAACAUAAUGGUUGGUUGACAAAAAUAGUCCAUCAACAUGGACUUAUGAUGAUUUUGAAUCAUUGAGGGUUGAAGUGUUAAACCACUUAACGAGACGGAAACUAAGCUAGGACUUCACCUUUAUGUCCCUAUCCUAAUGGUUCACUAAGUUUAUUGUAAACUAUGUAGUGAACAAUAAAUACAUGCUCUUCAAAAUGUUUGAUGUGUAUAACACAAUUGAAAUAAGUUUCAAGAGAGAUAGUGGGAGUUUAGGGACCAUGACUAAUGUAGUCAAAGGUGAAAGUCAAAUAAAGAAGAUAAAAAUAACUCCAAGGGAACAAACUUUCUUUAUGAAAGGAUGGACAUUGGAAGGGGUAUUGGCAAGAAAUGUCUUGCAAGUGUCAAGAACACACCUUUUGAAGGUGUUGUAAAUUGUUCUUAAAUUCUUCUAGGAAGUCGUUCCAAAUCAUAUUCAAGGUAAUCAUAUAAGCACACGAAUCACAUUGAUAGUAGACAUGAAUAAACUAUCAAACCAAACAAUGUGGUCAAGAGUAUUGUAUUAGAGAAAGACCGUAUUGCAUUUGUAAUCCUAAACUGAAUAGGUUCUCCACCUCUUCUGAUUAGCUUGGGUAACCAUGAUAUGCUGCUAGGUGUCACUCAUGGUUUAUGGAAGCCCUAAACGUAUAAUCACUAAAGGGAGAAUUGAAAGUAAGUUUCAAUUCACAAUCGAUUUGAAAUGGUUUUAAU
RNAcentral lists this long non-coding RNA (1353 nucleotides) under Malus domestica (apple). Its description in RNAcentral is "long non-coding RNA (MDOM_LNC013367)". Lineage: Eukaryota; Viridiplantae; Streptophyta; Magnoliopsida; Rosales; Rosaceae. The record is from RNAcentral.